This is a non-coding RNA of Podarcis lilfordi (Lilford's wall lizard), 76 nucleotides long. Lineage: Eukaryota; Metazoa; Chordata; Lepidosauria; Squamata; Lacertidae. The record is from the annotation of a GenBank genome assembly.
GGAACGGCCAUAGAUCAGUGGCAGGACAUCUGCCUGGCAUGCAGAAGGCCCUUGGCUCAAUCCCUGGUGUUCUCCA